This 248-nucleotide ribosomal RNA is filed under the name uncultured bacterium. RNAcentral's name for it is "partial 16S ribosomal RNA". It matches the Rfam family "Bacterial small subunit ribosomal RNA", at positions 57 to 305 of the family's 1533-position model. The record is from RNAcentral.
GCAAGUCGAACGGCGGCACGGGUGCUUGCACCUGGUGGCGAGUGGCGAACGGGUGAGUAAUACAUCGGAACGUACAUUAUCGUGGGGGAUAACGCACAGAAAGCUGCGCUAAUACCGCAUACGCCCUGAGUGGGAACGAGGGGGAUCGAAGGACCUCGCGCGAUUAGAGCGGCCGAUGCCUGAUUAGCUUGUUGGUGAAGUAAAAGCCCACCAAGGCGACGAUCAGUAGCUGGUCUGAGAGGACGAUC